UAGGGAAUCUUCGGCAAUGGGGGCAACCCUGACCGAGCAACGCCGCGGGAGGGAAGAAGGUUUUCGGAUCGUAAAGCUCUGUUGUAAGAGAAGAACGUGUGUGAGAGUGGAAAGUUCACACAGUGACGGUAACUUACCAGAAAGGGACGGGUAACUACGUGCCAGCAGCCGCGGUAAUACGUAGGUCCCGAGCGUUGUCCGGAUUUAUUGGGCGUAAAGCGAGCGCAGGCGGUUUAAUAAGUCUGAAGUUAAAGGCAGUGGCUUAACCAUUGUUCGCUUUGGAAACUGUUAAACUUGAGUGCAGAAGGGGAGAGUGGAAUUCCAUGUGUAGCGGUGAAAUGCGUAGAUAUAUGGAGGAACACCGGUGGCGAAAGCGGCUCUCUGGUCUGUAACUGACGCUGAGGCUCGAAAGCGUGGGGAGCAAACAGG
Molecule: ribosomal RNA, 429 nt
Filed under: bacterium
Lineage: Bacteria
Description: partial 16S ribosomal RNA
Rfam family: Bacterial small subunit ribosomal RNA
Source: RNAcentral